This 390-nucleotide ribosomal RNA is filed under the name Bolidophyceae sp. RNAcentral's name for it is "partial small subunit ribosomal RNA". It matches the Rfam family "Eukaryotic small subunit ribosomal RNA", at positions 582 to 975 of the family's 1831-position model. Lineage: Eukaryota; Bolidophyceae. The record is from RNAcentral.
AUUCCAGCUCCAAUAGCGUAUAUUAAAGUUGUUGCAGUUAAAAAGCUCGUAGUUGGAUUUCUGGUGGGAGCGUUGGGCCGGCCCUAAGGGUCUGAGCUCAAAUGUUUUCCGCCAUCCUUGGAGGGAUGUUGUCUGGCAUUAAGUUGUCGGGCUUCCGAUCUCCAUCGUUUACUGUGAAAAAAUUAGAGUGUUCAUAGCAGGCUUAUGCCGUUGAAUACAUUAGCAUGGAAUAAUAAGAUAGGACCUUGGUACUAUUUUGUUGGUUUGCGUACCUAGGUAAUGAUUAAUAGGGACAGUUGGGGAUAUUACUAUUUCGUUGUCAGAGGUGGAAUUCUUGGAUUUACGAAAGAGUAACUACUGCGAAAGCAUUUAUCAAGGAUGUUUUCAUUA